This 401-nucleotide transfer-messenger RNA is filed under the name Maribacter sp. It matches the Rfam family "transfer-messenger RNA". From Rfam's summary of the family: Bacterial tmRNA, also known as 10Sa RNA or SsrA, is named for its dual tRNA and mRNA-like properties. Its role is to liberate the mRNA from a stalled ribosome. Lineage: Bacteria; Pseudomonadati; Bacteroidota; Flavobacteriia; Flavobacteriales; Flavobacteriaceae. The record is from RNAcentral.
GGGGCCGACUGGUUUUUGACAGCGAGACCAACUGGAGUAUAAGCAUGCCGAGCGCCGGUCAACAGCUCGUUAAUCUCAUUUUCCACACUUUUAAAAGGCGAUAAUAAUUACGCUCUUGCCGCUUAAUCCGAAUUAUAGUAGGAUUUAGCCUCGUCUCUACUAGGUAGAGAAGCGAGAUGUUCCUGAAUAGCCUCUGUCGACGGCGAUUCAAUCAGGAGCACCAUAAAUGUCGAUAUAAGGGUAUUAUUCGCUUUGGUAAUACCACCAAAAUCUUAAGAAGCUAAGUGUGUACUCGACCGUCUUUGGUCAGGUGCGCAUCGAAAAUUAAACAAAGACUAAGCAUGUAGAAAAUAUUGCAAUUGCUUGUUUGGACGAGGGUUCGAAUCCCUCCGGCUCCACGA